GACGAACGCUGGCGGCGUGCUUAACACAUGCAAGUCGAACGGAAAGGCCCUGCUUGCAGGGUGCUCGAGUGGCGAACGGGUGAGUAACACGUGGGUGAUCUGCCCCUUAUUUUGGGAUAAGCCUGGGAAGCUGGGUCUAAUACUGGAUAGGACCAUGCUGUAGGUGGUGUGGUGGAAAGAUUAGUUUCGGUAAGGGAUGAGCUCGCGGCCUAUCAGCUUGUUGGUGGGGUAAUGGCCUACCAAGGCGUCGACGGGUAGCCGGCCUGAGAGGGUGGACGGCCACAUUGGGACUGAGAUACGGCCCAGACUCCUACGGGAGGCAGCAGUGGGGAAUAUUGCACAAUGGGCGCAAGCCUGAUGCAGCGACGCCGCGUGGGGGAUGACGGCCUUCGGGUUGUAAACUCCUUUCAGCCAUGACGAAGCCCUUGUGGUGACGGUAGUGGUAGAAGAAGCACCGGCUAACUACGUG
RNAcentral lists this ribosomal RNA (469 nucleotides) under uncultured bacterium. RNAcentral's name for it is "partial 16S ribosomal RNA". It matches the Rfam family "Bacterial small subunit ribosomal RNA", at positions 28 to 507 of the family's 1533-position model. The record is from RNAcentral.